RNAcentral lists this ribosomal RNA (478 nucleotides) under uncultured bacterium. RNAcentral's name for it is "partial 16S ribosomal RNA". It matches the Rfam family "Bacterial small subunit ribosomal RNA", at positions 28 to 507 of the family's 1533-position model. The record is from RNAcentral.
GAUGAACGCUAGCGGCAGGCCUAACACAUGCCAGUCGAGGGAGAAGCCCUUUCGGGGGCAGAAACCGGCGCACGGGUGCGUAACGCGUAUGCAACCUACCUUUCACAGGGGGAUAGCCCGAAGAAAUUUGGGUUAAUACCCCAUAAUAUUAUUGGAUGGCAUCAUUUGAUAAUUAAAACUGCGGUGGUGAAAGAUGGGCAUGCGUCCUAUUAGCUAGUUGGAGUGGUAACGGCACCCCAAGGCUACGAUAGGUAGGGGUCCUGAGAGGGAGAUCCCCCACACGGGUACUGAGACAGGGACCAGACUCCUACGGGAGGCAGCAGUGAGGAAUAUUGGUCAAUGGUGGGAAGACUGAACCAGCCAUGCCGCGUGCAGGAAGAAUGCCUUAUGGGUUGUAAACUGCUUUUAGAUGGGAAGAAUAAGGCGUACGUGUACGUUGAUGACGGUACCAUAUGAAUAAGCAUCGGCUAACUCCGUG